RNAcentral lists this ribosomal RNA (1343 nucleotides) under uncultured bacterium. RNAcentral's name for it is "16S ribosomal RNA". It matches the Rfam family "Bacterial small subunit ribosomal RNA", at positions 28 to 1378 of the family's 1533-position model. The record is from RNAcentral.
GACGAACGCUGGCGGCGUGCUUAACACAUGCAAGUCGAACGGAAAGGCCCUGCUUUUGUGGGGUGCUCGAGUGGCGAACGGGUGAGUAACACGUGAGUAACCUGCCCUUGACUUUGGGAUAACUUCAGGAAACUGGGGCUAAUACCGGAUAGGAGCUCCUGCUGCAUGGUGGGGGUUGGAAAGUUUCGGCGGUUGGGGAUGGACUCGCGGCUUAUCAGCUUGUUGGUGGGGUAGUGGCUUACCAAGGCUUUGACGGGUAGCCGGCCUGAGAGGGUGACCGGCCACAUUGGGACUGAGAUACGGCCCAGACUCCUACGGGAGGCAGCAGUGGGGAAUAUUGCACAAUGGGCGGAAGCCUGAUGCAGCAACGCCGCGUGCGGGAUGACGGCCUUCGGGUUGUAAACCGCUUUCGCCUGUGACGAAGCGUGAGUGACGGUAAUGGGUAAAGAAGCACCGGCUAACUACGUGCCAGCAGCCGCGGUGAUACGUAGGGUGCGAGCGUUGUCCGGAUUUAUUGGGCGUAAAGGGCUCGUAGGUGGUUGAUCGCGUCGGAAGUGUAAUCUUGGGGCUUAACCCUGAGCGUGCUUUCGAUACGGGUUGACUUGAGGAAGGUAGGGGAGAAUGGAAUUCCUGGUGGAGCGGUGGAAUGCGCAGAUAUCAGGAGGAACACCAGUGGCGAAGGCGGUUCUCUGGGCCUUUCCUGACGCUGAGGAGCGAAAGCGUGGGGAGCGAACAGGCUUAGAUACCCUGGUAGUCCACGCUGUAAACGGUGGGUACUAGGUGUGGGGUCCGUUUCACGGGUUCCGUGCCGUAGCUAACGCUUUAAGUACCCCGCCUGGGGAGUACGGCCGCAAGGCUAAAACUCAAAGGAAUUGACGGGGCCCCGCACAAGCGGCGGAGCAUGCGGAUUAAUUCGAUGCAACGCGUAGAACCUUACCUGGGUUUGACAUGGAUCGGGAGUGCUCAGAGAUGGGUGUGCCUCUUUUGGGGUCGGUUCACAGGUGGUGCAUGGCUGUCGUCAGCUCGUGUCGUGAGAUGUUGGGUUAAGUCCCGCAACGAGCGCAACCCUUGUUCACUGUUGCCAGCACGUUAUGGUGGGGACUCAGUGGAGACCGCCGGGGUCAACUCGGAGGAAGGUGGGGAUGACGUCAAGUCAUCAUGCCCCUUAUGUCCAGGGCUUCACGCAUGCUACAAUGGCUGGUACAGAGAGUGGCGAGCCUGUGAGGGUGAGCGAAUCUCGGAAAGCCGGUCUCAGUUCGGAUUGGGGUCUGCAACUCGACCUCAUGAAGUCGGAGUCGCUAGUAAUCGCAGAUCAGCAACGCUGCGGUGAAUACGUUCCCGGG